UUAACUCAAAUUUGUAUGGAGUCAGGACGUUUGCCUAUGUUUGCCGCUAGGGCUGCUGUUCCAACUGCAUUCAAAUUUGAGUUA
This is a non-coding RNA of Bombyx mori (domestic silkworm), 84 nucleotides long. Lineage: Eukaryota; Metazoa; Arthropoda; Insecta; Lepidoptera; Bombycidae. The record is from Rfam.